Molecule: transfer RNA, 71 nt
Filed under: Loxodonta africana (African savanna elephant)
Lineage: Eukaryota; Metazoa; Chordata; Mammalia; Proboscidea; Elephantidae
Rfam family: tRNA
About the family: Transfer RNA (tRNA) molecules are approximately 80 nucleotides in length. Their secondary structure includes four short double-helical elements and three loops (D, anti-codon, and T loops).
Source: Rfam by way of RNAcentral
GCAGUGGUGGUUCAGUGAUAGAAUUCUCACCUUCCAUGUGGGAAUCCUGGGUUCAAUUCCCGGCCAACACA